Molecule: ribosomal RNA, 429 nt
Filed under: Actinomycetes bacterium
Lineage: Bacteria; Bacillati; Actinomycetota; Actinomycetes
Description: Actinobacteria bacterium partial 16S ribosomal RNA
Rfam family: Bacterial small subunit ribosomal RNA
Source: RNAcentral
UAGGGAAUCUUCCGCAAUGGGCGAAAGCCUGACGGAGCAACGCCGCGUGAGUGAUGAAGGUCUUCGGAUCGUAAAACUCUGUUAUUAGGGAAGAACAAAUGUGUAAGUAACUAUGCACGUCUUGACGGUACCUAAUCAGAAAGCCACGGCUAACUACGUGCCAGCAGCCGCGGUAAUACGUAGGUGGCAAGCGUUAUCCGGAAUUAUUGGGCGUAAAGCGCGCGUAGGCGGUUUUUUAAGUCUGAUGUGAAAGCCCACGGCUCAACCGUGGAGGGUCAUUGGAAACUGGAAAACUUGAGUGCAGAAGAGGAAAGUGGAAUUCCAGGUGUAGCGGUGAAAUGCGCAGAGAUAUGGAGGAACACCAGUGGCGAGGGCGACUUUCUGGUCUGUAACUGACGCUGAUGUGCGAAAGCGUGGGGAUCAAACAGG